This 254-nucleotide ribosomal RNA is filed under the name uncultured bacterium. RNAcentral's name for it is "partial 16S ribosomal RNA". It matches the Rfam family "Bacterial small subunit ribosomal RNA", at positions 524 to 776 of the family's 1533-position model. The record is from RNAcentral.
UACGAGGGGGGCAAGCGUUGUUCGGAAUUAUUGGGCGUAAAGGGCGCGUAGGCGGUGUCGCAAGUCCGUGGUGAAAUCUCUAGGCUCAACUUAGAGACUGCCGCGGAAACUGCGGUGCUUGAGUGUGGGAGGGGGCAGUGGAAUUCCUGGUGUAGCGGUGAAAUGCGUAGAUAGUCAGGAGGAACACCGAUGGCGAAGGCAGGUCUCUGGGCAUUAACUGACGCUGAGGAGCGAAAGCAUGGGGAGCGAACAGG